Molecule: ribosomal RNA, 769 nt
Filed under: bacterium
Lineage: Bacteria
Description: bacterial SSU rRNA
Rfam family: Bacterial small subunit ribosomal RNA
Source: RNAcentral
ACGAUGAACCUCACUUGUGGGGGGAUUAGUGGCGAACGGGUGAGUAACACGUGAGUAACCUGCCCUUAACUCUGGGAUAAGCCUGGGAAACUGGGUCUAAUACCGGAUAUGACUCCUCAUCGCAUGGUGGGGGGUGGAAAGCUUUUUGUGGUUUUGGAUGGACUCGCGGCCUAUCAGCUUGUUGGUGAGGUAAUGGCUCACCAAGGCGACGACGGGUAGCCGGCCUGAGAGGGUGACCGGCCACACUGGGACUGAGACACGGCCCAGACUCCUACGGGAGGCAGCAGUGGGGAAUAUUGCACAAUGGGCGAAAGCCUGAUGCAGCGACGCCGCGUGAGGGAUGACGGCCUUCGGGUUGUAAACCUCUUUCAGUAGGGAAGAAGCGAAAGUGACGGUACCUGCAGAAGAAGCGCCGGCUAACUACGUGCCAGCAGCCGCGGUAAUACGUAGGGCGCAAGCGUUAUCCGGAAUUAUUGGGCGUAAAGAGCUCGUAGGCGGUUUGUCGCGUCUGCUGUGAAAGACCGGGGCUCAACUCCGGUUCUGCAGUGGGUACGGGCAGACUAGAGUGAUGUAGGGGAGACUGGAAUUCCUGGUGUAGCGGUGAAAUGCGCAGAUAUCAGGAGGAACACCGAUGGCGAAGGCAGGUCUCUGGGCAUUAACUGACGCUGAGGAGCGAAAGCAUGGGGAGCGAACAGGAUUAGAUACCCUGGUAGUCCAUGCCGUAAACGUUGGGCACUAGGUGUGGGGGACAUUCCACGUUUUCCGCGCC